GACGGAGAGAGCUAGUGUUACUCAAAUUAACUGGGCGUAAAGGGCGCGUAGGCGGCUUGGCAAGUCAAAGGUGAAAUCCCUCGGCUCAACUGAGGAACUGCCUUUGAAACUGCCUGGCUUGAGGCCGGGAGGGGGUAGCGGAAUUCCUAGUGUAGGAGUGAAAUCCGUAGAUAUUAGGAGGAACACCGGUGGCGAAGGCGGCUACCUGGACCGGUUCUAACGCUGAUGCGCGAAAGCGUGGGGAGCAAACAGG
This 253-nucleotide ribosomal RNA is filed under the name uncultured bacterium. RNAcentral's name for it is "partial 16S ribosomal RNA". It matches the Rfam family "Bacterial small subunit ribosomal RNA", at positions 524 to 776 of the family's 1533-position model. The record is from RNAcentral.